CAGGAGUUCAUUUAUGAUAAUCAUAGAUGGGAUGCAAAUCUCGUUACCUAUCGUCGUUACAUAGAUGACAUAUUUUUUAUUUGGAAGGGCGAUGAGGCAUCCCUUAACUCCUUUUUGAUCCAUCUAAAUACUAAUGAUCGUGGUAUUAUACUUACCAGUCACUAUAGUAAAACUUCGGUCGAAUUUUUGGACCUUAACAUAUAUGUGGAGGAUGAUAUUCUGAAAUCUUGUACUUUCUUUAAAAAGG
Non-coding RNA from Pelobates cultripes (western spadefoot toad), 247 nucleotides. NCBI's taxonomy places the organism in Eukaryota, Metazoa, Chordata, Amphibia, Anura, Pelobatidae. The record is from the annotation of a GenBank genome assembly.